This 427-nucleotide ribosomal RNA is filed under the name uncultured bacterium. Its description in RNAcentral is "bacterial SSU rRNA". It matches the Rfam family "Bacterial small subunit ribosomal RNA", at positions 355 to 774 of the family's 1533-position model. The record is from RNAcentral.
UGGGGAAUAUUGGACAAUGGGCGCAAGCCUGAUCCAGCCAUGCCGCGUGGGUGAAGAAGGCCUACGGGUUGUAAAGCCCUUUUGUUGGGAAAGAAAUCCUGUCGGCUAAUACCCGGCGGGGAUGACGGUACCCAAAGAAUAAGCACCGGCUAACUUCGUGCCAGCAGCCGCGGUCAUACGAAGGGUGCAAGCGUUACUCGGAAUUACUGGGCGUAAAGCGUGCGUAGGCGGUUCGUUAAGUCUGUCGUGAAAGCCCUGGGCUCAACCUGGGAAUUGCUAUGGAUACUGGCGAGCUAGAGUACGGUAGAGGAUGGUGGAAUUCCCGGUGUAGCGGUGAAAUGCGUAGAGAUCGGGAGGAACACCCGUGGCGAAGGCGGCCAUCUGGACCAGUACUGACGCUGAGGCACGAAAGCGUGGGGAGCAAACA